UAGGGAUGUCCCCACUAUGUAUGAACCUAUUCAACAUUUUCAAAUAAGGGGCCGUCCCCAUACCUCAUCCAGUAUGGGCACCAAAAGAUACCAUCCCUCAAUACCCCAUCCGAUAUGAGGAUGAAACGGGUCGUUCCUAUACCUUGUCCGGUGUGAGCACCAAAGUACCAAUCCUUCAUACCUCGUCCGGUAUGAGGCAACGUUUACGGUAGGGUUCUCUAUGUACCUGAUCCAUCCACCAUCUUCCAGGAUAUGCAAUAAGCCUACCGUUCAUCCAUUUACUUAAUCAAAUAAUUUUUCGUUUACCUUUAAUUUUUAGUUUUUCAAUUUAACUGUAAUCACAUAAAACAAGCAAUACAUGCAUUAAGGAAAUACAAUCGCAUCGUCAUACCAAUUCUAGUGUAUUAUCAUGCAUUUGAAACUGUAAAAUCAGAAAAUCAGUUAAACAUAGUAAACAGUAAUAAAUAACCGGUUUCGGCUCUAUUAGUAACCUGUAAUUAAUU
RNAcentral lists this long non-coding RNA (503 nucleotides) under Carica papaya (papaya). RNAcentral's name for it is "long non-coding RNA (CPAP_LNC014914)". The record is from RNAcentral. Lineage: Eukaryota; Viridiplantae; Streptophyta; Magnoliopsida; Brassicales; Caricaceae.